Molecule: ribosomal RNA, 353 nt
Filed under: Dolosigranulum pigrum
Lineage: Bacteria; Bacillati; Bacillota; Bacilli; Lactobacillales; Carnobacteriaceae
Description: bacterial LSU rRNA
Rfam family: Bacterial large subunit ribosomal RNA
Source: RNAcentral
GGUGGAGCGAUUAGAAGUGAGAAUGCCGGUAUGAGUAGCGAAAGACAGGUGAGAAUCCUGUCCACCGAAUGACUAAGGUUUCCUGGGGAAGGCUCGUCCUCCCAGGGUUAGUCGGGACCUAAGCUGAGGCCGAACGGCGUAGGCGAUGGUCAACAGGUUGAUAUUCCUGUACCAGUUUCUUUUGUUUGACCGAUGGAGGGACGCAGCAGGCUAAGAUAUGCCCACUGAUGGAUGUGGGUGCAAAUAAUAAGUCUGGCGAUGAGUCAAAUGCUUAUCGCUAAGGACAAGUUAUGACGCGGAGGGAAGUACAGUACCGAAGUAUCUGACGUCACACUGCCAAGAAAAGCUUCUAG